Molecule: unclassified non-coding RNA, 1456 nt
Filed under: Leishmania donovani
Lineage: Eukaryota; Euglenozoa; Kinetoplastea; Trypanosomatida; Trypanosomatidae
Description: gene:LdHU3.05.0370(CDS-product:monothiol_glutared oxin_putative)
Source: RNAcentral
CACCACGUGCGUGCCCACAUACGCACACUCCAUCAUUCAUAACCGGCUCUUCGAAGCGCAGCUGCCCCACCUAUCCCUCCUCCCUCGCUGCAACCCACCGCCUAUCUCCACUGGCAGCUGGGGAAUCCUGUCGCUUCCGCGGUUCUCAGCCAUGCGCUCGUUGAGUCGAGGGCUUUCCCUCGCUGCGAGUGGUCGCCUCGUCUGCGUGUCGCGAAGGUCUUCGGUGACGGCAAGCACCGCCCUUGCCGCGACGUACGCGUCGGCUAACGCGGUGCCCUGCUCAUCGCUGUCGUCGUCCAUGGCUGCGUCAGCGCACCGCGCAUCCGCGGCGUUUUUCCACACCUCCCGCGUGCACCGCGCCCCGUCGGACGUGUCGGACGACCUCGCGAAGGAUCUGCACGACAUCAUCUGUCACGACCGCCUCGUCGUCUUUCUCACUGGCACCCCGUCGCAACCGCGGUGUCGCUUUACAGCGCAGCUGGUGGACCUGCUCGACCAGCUCGGCGUCAAGUAUAGCUUUUUCAACAUCAUGGAUGACGAGGAGGUUUGCGAGGGGCUCAAGGCGUACAGCGACUGGCCGACGUACCCGCAGGUGUACGUGGACGGCGAGCUGCUCGGCGGCUUCGAUAUUUGCAAGACAAUGAUGCUGGAUGGCACGCUGACGACGAUGCUGAAGGAUAAGCAACUCAUCUGACAAGACCGGAAGGGCGGAGGAGGGGAGGACGUUGUGCGCGGCUGUAGGGUGGUAACGAAGCUGGAGCGGCCGAAGAGAGAGAGGCGACACCCUGCGGCUCCGCUGCCUCCCUCGGUAUACGACCACCUCCUACACGCACGCACGCAUACGCUCAAGCGCGUAUUCGUCUGUCGGUGUUGUUUGCAGCACCGUCUCUUUUUCCGCAGCCGCUACUCCGGCGCAGGUGUGGCACCCGCUCCACUCCUCAUGUGAGCGCUCCACGUAAGAACGGACGUGCAGCACAAAUAGGAACGCGAACAGGUAACGGUAAGUGGCAGGAGAUGGAAGUAUGUAGCGACGCAGUGUGCGGCAGCGGCGGCGGCGGCGGCUGCUGUCAACAUCACCACCCUGGUGCAGCCACUCAUCACCUUUUUUGUGCGUGUAUGUCUAUCUUGGCUGCAGCCGUUUUGCGCGCCAUGCCUAACAUCGACAUCGAUGGACACUCACCUGCAGAGGGAAAAAGAAGUGCGGCCGCAUCCGUAUAACCUACUGGAGCGGGAGCGGGAGCGGGGGAGAGACAGGUACGAUGCUGAUGAGCACGGUGCUAACUGCAAGACGUGUCCCUCCCCCGCCCACCCACCCCGCUAUCCCUACGUGUGCGCAAGCAUGUGCAUGUGCACGUGAGCCACUCCCCGCAGUGCUUUCAUCGGCACACUCUUUCUUGUAUCUUGUCGCUAUCACUUCCUCCUCUUCGCUCGACGCCGAUCAUCGCCGGACACGCAC